RNAcentral lists this transfer RNA (75 nucleotides) under Actinomycetes bacterium. RNAcentral describes it as "Actinobacteria bacterium tRNA-Met". It matches the Rfam family "tRNA". From Rfam's summary of the family: Transfer RNA (tRNA) molecules are approximately 80 nucleotides in length. Their secondary structure includes four short double-helical elements and three loops (D, anti-codon, and T loops). Lineage: Bacteria; Bacillati; Actinomycetota; Actinomycetes. The record is from RNAcentral.
GGCGGCGUAGCUCAGUGGUAGAGCAAGCGGCUCAUAAUCGCUGUGUCGGCGGUUCGAAUCCGCCCGCCGCUACCC